This 497-nucleotide ribosomal RNA is filed under the name uncultured bacterium. RNAcentral's name for it is "partial 16S ribosomal RNA". It matches the Rfam family "Bacterial small subunit ribosomal RNA", at positions 28 to 507 of the family's 1533-position model. The record is from RNAcentral.
GAUGAACGCUGGCGGCGUGCCUAAUACAUGCAAGUCGAGCGAACGGACGAGAAGCUUGCUUCUCUGAUGUUAGCGGCGGACGGGUGAGUAACACGUGGAUAACCUACCUAUAAGACUGGGAUAACUUCGGGAAACCGGAGCUAAUACCGGAUAAUAUUUUGAACCGCAUGGUUCAAAAGUGAAAGACGGUCUUGCUGUCACUUAUAGAUGGAUCCGCGCUGCAUUAGCUAGUUGGUAAGGUAACGGCUUACCAAGGCAACGAUGCAUAGCCGACCUGAGAGGAUGAUCGGCCACACUGGAACUGAAACACGAUCCAGACUCCUACGGGAGGCAGCAGUAGGGAAUCUUCCGCAAUGGGCGAAAGCCUGACGGAGCAACGCCGCGUGAGUGAUGAAAGUCUUCGGAUCGUAAAACUCUGUUAUUAGGGAAGAACAUAUGUGUAAGUAACUGUGCACAUCUUGACGGUACCUAAUCAGAAAGCCACGGCUAACUACGUG